CCCGCUCUCCGGCGACCCGCCGAGCUACCUCACCGGCGAGUUCCCCGGCGACUACGGCUGGGACACCGCGGGCCUGUCGGCCGACCCCGAGACCUUCGCCAAGAACCGGGAGCUGGAGGUGAUCCACUGCCGUUGGGCCAUGCUCGGCGCGCUCGGCUGCGUCUUCCCGGAGCUGCUCGCCCGCAACGGCGUCAAGUUCGGCGAGGCCGUGUGGUUCAAGGCCGGCUCCCAGAUCUUCAGCGAGGGCGGCCUCGACUACCUCGGCAACCCCAGCCUGGUGCAUGCGCAGAGCAUCCUUGCCAUCUGGGCCUGCCAGGUGGUGCUGAUGGGCGCCGUGGAGGGCUAC
This 346-nucleotide long non-coding RNA is filed under the name Triticum aestivum (bread wheat). Its description in RNAcentral is "long non-coding RNA (TAES_LNC009124)". Lineage: Eukaryota; Viridiplantae; Streptophyta; Magnoliopsida; Poales; Poaceae. The record is from RNAcentral.